UCGAGCGACUGAUUAGAAGCUUGCUUCUAUGACGUUAGCGGCGGACGGGUGAGUAACACGUGGGCAACCUGCCUGUAAGACUGGGAUAACUUCGGGAAACCGAAGCUAAUACCGGAUAGGAUCUUCUCCUUCAUGGGAGAUGAUUGAAAGAUGGUUUCGGCUAUCACUUACAGAUGGGCCCGCGGUGCAUUAGCUAGUUGGUGAGGUAACGGCUCACCAAGGCAACGAUGCAUAGCCGACCUGAGAGGGUGAUCGGCCAAACUGGGACUGAGACACGGCCCAGACUCCUACGGGAGGCAGCAGUAGGGAAUCUUCCGCAAUGGACGAAAGUCUGACGGAGCAACGCCGCGUGAGUGAUGAAGGCUUUCGGGUCGUAAAACUCUGUUGUUAGGGAAGAACAAGUACAAGAGUAACUGCUUGUACCUUGACGGUACCUAACCAGAAAGCCACGGCUAACUACGUGCCAGCAGCCGCGGUAAUACGUAGGUGGCAAGCGUUAUCCGGAAUUAUUGGGCGUAAAGCGCGCGCAGGCGGUUUCUUAAGUCUGAUGUGAAAGCCCACGGCUCAACCGUGGAGGGUCAUUGGAAACUGGGGAACUUGAGUGCAGAAGAGAAAAGCGGAAUUCCACGUGUAGCGGUGAAAUGCGUAGAGAUGUGGAGGAACACCAGUGGCGAAGGCGGCUUUUU
Molecule: ribosomal RNA, 686 nt
Filed under: Priestia megaterium
Lineage: Bacteria; Bacillati; Bacillota; Bacilli; Caryophanales; Bacillaceae
Description: bacterial SSU rRNA
Rfam family: Bacterial small subunit ribosomal RNA
Source: RNAcentral